Molecule: long non-coding RNA, 2327 nt
Filed under: Marmota monax (woodchuck)
Lineage: Eukaryota; Metazoa; Chordata; Mammalia; Rodentia; Sciuridae
Source: RNAcentral
AAAUUCUUUUAUAUGUAUAGUUCAUAAUUUAUUUAAACAAUCUCCAAUUCUUGCCCAUUUUGUUAGAUUCCAAUAGUUUUUUUCCCUAUCAUAAACAAUGCUGCAAUGACCAUAUUUGUAUAUGGUUCUUGUUUAUGUACAUCAGUAUUUCCCCAGAAUAGAUGGUGUGUACUAUAGAAUUAGAAGAUAUUGCCAAACUGUUCUCCAAAAGGUCUAUACACUACUAACUUACACCUUCACCCCCAGGGAAGGAGAAUGAUUUCUCAUACUCUGAUCCAAUACAUUUGUUACUUUGUUUUGUUCAGGGCUGGUGGGUUCAGAGGAGCUUAGGGUGGGACAAAAGAUAUGGUGCCACAGACCUGACCUGGGAGGUAAUAGCAGGACAAGUGACACAGCAGUCAUCUAUGACAUGGGCCAGUGACCUAAAAGACUGAGAUGCACCUCAUCAGACACUAACCAAGGGUUGGGAACAUCAGCAGGGAAGACCAGAGAAGGAAGAAGAAUGGGAGAUGGAAGAUUCUCAGAGAAAAACAUCAGGAAGCAACUGUGUUCAUUUUGUUGGACAGAUGAAAUUUUCUGCCACCAAAAUAAAUGGUGACUGGGGAGUUGUGUUCAACUGGGGAAAAAAAUGAAGUUACAGUUUUGCACAUCAAAGACGGUGUCUAUGAAAUGCAUAAGCCCCUCAAGAAACAGGCAGUUUUAUGAAGCUUUCUUAGGAUGUUUCUAGCAAGUCCUUGUUUUGAGAAUUGAAUAAAGAAAAGAAAAGGUAACAUUUUAAAAUCUCAAAUUAGAUUUGUCCCAGAGAAGGACAGGCAAGAAUUUUGUAAAUCCAAGCUUAUGUUAUGGUUUAGAUAUUAGGUGUCUCUCAAAAGCUCAUGUGUGAGACAAUGCAAGAAGGUUUACAGGAGAAAUAAUUGGGUUAGGAGAGCCUUAACCCAAUGAGUGAGUUAAUCCCCUGAUGGGAUUAACAGGGUAGAAAAUGAAGGUAGGUAGGAUGUGCUGGAGGAGGUGGGUUCACUGGGGGCGGGCAUUAGAGUAGAUAGUUUAUAUCUGGCAAGUGGAGUCUCUUUGCUUGCUGAUCAUCAUGUGAGGGGCUUCUCUCCACCUCACUCUUCUGCCAUGAUGUUGACCUCGAGGCCCAAGGAACGGAACCGGCUGUCCAUGGACUGAGACAUCUGAAACCGUGAGCUCCCAAAUAAACUUUUCCUCCUCUAAAAUUGUUCUUGUCAGGUCUUUUAGUCACAGCAGCAAAAACCGCUAACUAAAACAAAUGUACGUCAACAUCAACUCUAAAAACCAAUCAAAGGCCCUAUUGUUCCAGUUCCUGACACUUUUUAAAGGCCAUUGAACCUCAAAAUGAGUUCAUGAAAGAGCCAAAGCCAUCAAUCAGUUAGUUGUUGCUUCUGGGAAGUAAAACUGGAUAAUUUGAGUGAUGAGACUAGGAGGUAGGCUUAAUUUUGUUGAAUAUCUUUUUAUGCCUUUGCGUUUUAUAUAAUGUCCACUGUUCAAAAAUUCUUAAUUUUAAGACCAUGGAGUAGAUGACAUCAAAUGACUUGGUGAGUGUUUAGUCUGUUGGGAAUUCCAACAGUUCAUCAACCAGUGAAUCUGCAGAUCUCAGAAUCAUAGAUGCAACAGCCUCCUCCACUGACAGCCUAAAAAAUUCAAGGAUUUGUUCUUUUCAACAAAUAAUGGGGAAGAAGAGGACAAGGUCUUCCAGCCUCCCAAAUCAAGGAGAUACAGAAAGGCAGGAUGGGAGGGGGAGGGGCUUAACAGUCCCAAGGUCAACACUUAGGAAGGCUGUAGAAAAGAAGAGCUAGUUUAAAUCUAAUUGACCUGAAGAGAUCACAACUGAGAAGGAUAAGACCAAGCCAGUGUCUCCACACUACAGAUCCACCUCUUGACCUCUCAGAGCCUUAGUUUUCUCCUCUUUAAAAUGGGAAUCGUAUCGACUCAAGUUUUUGCAAGGGUUAAAGAAGUCUAUAUACUAAAACUCAUGUGUAGUAUGGUGCCUGUGACAUUAAAGUGUUUGUUUAAUGCUUACCCCAAUUCUUCCAGCCCCGUAUAGAAGGAAGAAAGACCCGUGAAGGAGAUGAACUCGGAGUCACUAUAAGUAACUAGGCCCUUUUUGAUAAGCACAGGAGGCACAUGCAUCCUGAGAUUUAGAAGGAGUUAAUGCAACCCAAAGGAAGGAUUUUCCUAUCCUUUUCCCAGUUGGGAGGAUUUUCAUAGAAAGGGAGGGUCCCCCAGAUGAUCCCAUUACUAUUAAACCUAGUUCCCUGAGGGAGAAAAAAAAAAGAUUUUCUCUUUUCUUCUGAAUUUAUAUGUUU